UACAGAGGUCCCAAGCGUUGUUCGGAAUCACUGGGCGUAAAGGGUGCGUAGGCGGUAUGGUAAGACUUGGGUGAAAUCUCCAUGCUUAACGUGGAGGGAGCCUGGGAGACUGCCGUGCUAGAGGAUUGGAGGGGAGACUGGAAUUCUUGGAGUAGCAGUGAAAUGCGUAGAUAUCAAGAGGAACACCAGUGGCGAAGGCGAGUCUCUGGACAAUUCCUGACGCUGAGGCACGAAGGCCAGGGGAUCAAACGGGAUUAGAUACC
RNAcentral lists this ribosomal RNA (263 nucleotides) under uncultured bacterium. RNAcentral describes it as "partial 16S ribosomal RNA". It matches the Rfam family "Bacterial small subunit ribosomal RNA", at positions 524 to 786 of the family's 1533-position model. The record is from RNAcentral.